CUUAAUUUAUAUUGCACACAUUUUUAAUGUAUGUGCAUUAUCUGGUAAAAAUAUCCACAUAUUUUUAAGGGAUAAUUAUAUUUUUAUUGUCUCAACUUUUUAUUUUUUUUCUAUUUCGAUAUUUAAACAGAAAACGCUAGCGAUCCGAGGGCUGGAAGAAAAAGAGCUCUAAAAUGCCAACUUAAUUGCAUGAGUGGAUUCCAGGUUCCUUGGCGCUGGAAAUUCAUCGGCGACCAACAUAACUGCCAAUAGGGACUCGUUAGAGCCACUAGCAACUUUGGGCUUAGACUUGGUGGUCAUAUGAGCUGCACUUCUUUGCGCUUUAAUUUGUAUUCUUAGACUCAUUGACACUCUCAGGGGAAAGAGAGAAGCGUUUUAACAGUAGAAAGGAGAUCUGGGUUUCUCCUGCCAAACCAGAAUCUGGUUUCUUUUCGUUCAAAGUUUCAAUCAUUUAUCAUCUAAUUCCUUAUUCCUUUGAACCUUAUGGGUACAAGCAUAGUAAUUCAAUGUAGAGCCAACAACCACCACAAGGUCACCAUAAUCAGCCACUUUAUCAACAACAGGCAAUCUAGCAACCAAAAGUCACCUGAAAAAGUGCCAAAAUCCAAUUCCUCCUAAAAUUGAUGAAGUCCGUACCGCCGCCUCCACAUCACCGCUAAUGGUGGCAGUAAUGGCGAGAAUCGAAUAACAACAAUUACCUGGUUUGUUCUUCUAGACGCAAGAAUAUAGAAGUAAUUACAAGAGUUUAUAUUUUUGGUUUCCAUUUAGAGGCCCUUAUUUGCUUUACUUUGCGAUUUCCUUUGUUAUUUUUGCUUUUUCUUUUGCAAUGGCCUCGAUGGUUUUAGAAAGGGUUUGAGGUUGGGGCCUUCAAAUUUUUUCUAGGUAUAAGAUCAUAGCAGCUUGCAGAGGUUCAUGAUCUUGAUCAACUAAGAUUGCAAGGGUAGAGGUUUGCCGGUAAUUUCCAACAGCGGAGUGGAAAGCAACACAAGAUUGAAGAACAAGGAGAUGUGAAGGGAAAGAAGAUGUGAAAUUUGGGUGUUCUUAAGUUCAAAAUAGAAAUUCUAUGUCUAUGUCUUACGUGGAAUCCACUCAUGCAGUUGAAUUUACAAUUUUGGAGCUCUUUUUCUCCACGUCAGCUGCCACGUGUUAUACAAUCGAGUUCCAUAAUUGCAAAAUCACCUUUCCGGUUAGCCAUCCGUUCAAGUACCAAAAUAGAAAAAAUUAUAAGUUGAGAUACUAAAAAUAUAAUUAUCUCAAUAUUUUAUCAUAAGCAUGGACUAACUAUUUUAUGUAUUUGCAAUAUUUUUAAUUUUCUAUAAGGUGAAGUUGUUAUGGGAAUCGAAUUGUGAGACACAACUAUAAGAAAAUAUAAAUGGGCACAACAAUUUUAAUUUAAGCACUA
Jatropha curcas is the source of this 1402-nucleotide long non-coding RNA. RefSeq lists it as uncharacterized. The record is from RefSeq and is a predicted model, not a curated record. NCBI's taxonomy places the organism in Eukaryota, Viridiplantae, Streptophyta, Magnoliopsida, Malpighiales, Euphorbiaceae.